Long non-coding RNA from Chinchilla lanigera (long-tailed chinchilla), 288 nucleotides. RefSeq lists it as uncharacterized. NCBI's taxonomy places the organism in Eukaryota, Metazoa, Chordata, Mammalia, Rodentia, Chinchillidae. The record is from RefSeq and is a predicted model, not a curated record. The transcript is spliced from 3 exons.
GAAUAUAGGUAUAAUUGGUGGAGGUUAAGCAGCCAUCUUGGGCGCUAGAAGAGGAAAGCUAGAUGACAUAAAUGAACGCCAGCCCCGGCUCCCUGUGGGGUCUGGAUGCCAAGACCUGGGCCCAGAGACCAUGGAGGCCACUUCAAGGAGGAGGAAGGGGCUCCGAUUCACCCUCGGUCAGCUCAGUUUAGAAGGCCUCCUCUUCCGCGUUAACCACCCUGAAAGUCCCCUCCCAACCUGUCCUUCUUCGCUCCCCCUCACCCACCGUGACAGAGGUCGGGGGACAUA